UAGAAUCUGGUGCAUAGUAUGUUCACGAUAAAUCUCAGCUUUGCUUGCUUGCUUGCUUGCUUGAUUGAUUUUGUCUAUGCUGCACUAAACUUAGUUUGGGGACGAAAUAUACAAAUACAAAUCAUACAUAUAUAGCCCUUGUUUUUAGGAGUAUACUGUCUUUUGGGAACAACAGAUGUGUUUGAUAAUUAGAAGUGUUUGAUAAUACCCACGGAGGUAUUUAUAAGCACUGUGGGUGUCUAGUGUGCUGGGCCUAAAUCAGCCUGAAAAUUAAGAGGUAUUAUCUGUGGAUUUUCAAGUCCUUUAUCCCAUUUAACUCCCUAGAGAACCCUGAGAGGUUGGAAAUAUUUCCCCAUGUCAACAGAUGUGGCAACAGAAGGCCCAGAAAAAUCAAGGCACAGUGGCCAGUGUUCUCUGCUGCCCCUGGAAGGUACCAGACCCCCUGAGGCAUCCUUGCUAGUGUACUCCUCAUGGGUGAGGCCUAAGCCGUGCCCACUGCAGAGUCCAGAUACUUCCAGGAAGGUCUGAUUAUCAGUGAGGCAAUCUCUGUGCAACCAGGAAUCUCCGAGUCCAAAUGACAGAGGAAUAGAAAUCUAGCAGGACAGGCUUGGCUCCAAUCCCACAUCUCAGGGCCAGACAGCAGAAGAGAUUCUGAGUGGAGUGAGAUGACCAUCUCUGGUCUCUUACUUUGGCCCAGUCCAUGGACAUGUGUCUGGGGCCCUGGAGGAGCGAGGGCAACAAAGAAGAAUGGGCAGUGGGCUCCAUGCAGACCUCUGCAACACACUGGAGCCUAAGCCCACUGCUGCAGGACUCAGCAACUACAAGGAAGAGGGAGAAGGUGUAUGCACCGCCCCCCCAGCUCUCCCAUGAUCUCCAUGGAGACCCAAAGAUAGAGACUGCAGCACCCAGCAAAGACAUGGUACUUGGUAAGGACAGUGGUACCCACCUGUUCCAGAGGGAACAUACUAAUCGUAUUUGUAAACCUGUCUGAGACAGCCCCUGAGAUGGGCUUGAAUACCCGGCUGUGGAGGAAUUAUAAGAGCUGAGGUCCUAUGGAGCCAAGAGGCAGUCAAGUUGGUAUUUAUUUAUGUAUUAAUGACUAUUAAUGGGGCACCUUUUAUGCCCACAGACUGCUGAGGCCCGGAUUAAGCUGGCACAAGAGUUUGAUAAGAGAAGAGGACAACUAACCCUGUACUUUGAAAAUCCAAUUCACAUUUCGUGUUGGAGUGUGGAUAUGAGUCAUGGAACUCUGGGGCUAUGUUGCUGCCAGGUAAGAAGCUGUUCUAGGAAGGACAAAAUCAACGGACAUAGAAAGGCAGGCUGGAGGAGAAUGGAAAGGGAGCUGAGCCUUCCUGAUAGAGUAAACCUGUGGAUUAAACUAUGCCUGAAGCCCA
Cercocebus atys (sooty mangabey) is the source of this 1394-nucleotide long non-coding RNA. RefSeq lists it as uncharacterized. NCBI's taxonomy places the organism in Eukaryota, Metazoa, Chordata, Mammalia, Primates, Cercopithecidae. The record is from RefSeq and is a predicted model, not a curated record. The transcript has 2 exons.